CUACGUAGGUGACAAGCGUUAUCCGGAUUUACUGGGCGUAAAGGGCGUGUAGGCGGUCUUGCAAGUCAGAAGUGAAAUUCCUGAGCUCAACUCGGGCGCUGCUUCUGAAACUGCAGGACUUGAGUGCUGGAGGGGAUAGCGGAAUUCCUAGUGGAGCGGUAAAAUGCGCAGAUAUUAGGAAGAACACCGGUGGCGAAGGCGGCUAUCUGGACAGUAACUGACGCUGAGGCGCGAAAGCGUGGGGAGCAAACAGGAUUAGAUCCCCUGGUAGUCCACGCCGUAAACGAUGAAUACUAGGUGUAGGGGGUAUCGACUCCCUCUGUGCCGCAGUUAACACAAUAAGUAUUCCGCCUGGGGAGUACGGCCGCAAGGUUGAAACUCAAAUGAAUUGACGGGG
RNAcentral lists this ribosomal RNA (397 nucleotides) under uncultured bacterium. Its description in RNAcentral is "partial 16S ribosomal RNA". It matches the Rfam family "Bacterial small subunit ribosomal RNA", at positions 523 to 918 of the family's 1533-position model. The record is from RNAcentral.